RNAcentral lists this long non-coding RNA (409 nucleotides) under Zonotrichia albicollis (white-throated sparrow). RNAcentral's name for it is "lncRNA (ENSZALG00000016267.1)". The record is from RNAcentral. Lineage: Eukaryota; Metazoa; Chordata; Aves; Passeriformes; Passerellidae.
AACAAAUUACAGUCAUAAGACUCCGUUCACUUUUACCAUCUUGCACUUGUUUUGAUGGCAAAUAAGGAUCUAGUUUUCAGGGGGGUGUUUUAGGGAUUUUUGUUUGUUUUGAGGUUGGCUUUUUUUCAGUGAAAAUUCAUAUUCCCUUCUGGCAUUCACCAGACUGCAACUUAACAACAGAGAUCUUUGCAAAGACCCCAUUAUCUUUUUCUCAUUUAUUGGUGUGACUUUGCCCUCUCUCUGCACAGGCAAAGCCUUUUACAAGGCUAAUGAAACUGCAUCCCUUGGUAUAAAUGUAGUCAUGACUUUAUUUCACAUGACAUCCAGCCCUACAGUAUCACAGCAGUCCACAGCAGGUAAGUUGAUAUUAAUUUAUUUUUGUACUGUUAUUGCAUAAUUCUGAUAUACU